RNAcentral lists this ribosomal RNA (249 nucleotides) under uncultured bacterium. RNAcentral's name for it is "partial 16S ribosomal RNA". It matches the Rfam family "Bacterial small subunit ribosomal RNA", at positions 355 to 621 of the family's 1533-position model. The record is from RNAcentral.
UGAGGAAUUUUCCACAAUGGGCGAAAGCCUGAUGGAGCGACGCCGCGUGAAGGAUGAAGCUUUUCGGAGUGUAAACUUCUUUUAUGUGGGAAGAUUAUGACGGUACCACAUGAAUAAGGACCGGCUAACUACGUGCCAGCAGCCGCGGUAAUACGUAGGGUCCGAGCGUUAUCCGGAAUUACUGGGCGUAAAGAGUUCGUAGGCGGAUUUUUAAGUCAGGUGUUAAAUAUGCAGGCUCAACUUGCAUGC